UUAGCGGCGGACGGGUGAGUAACACGUGGGCAACCUGCCUAUAAGACUGGGAUAACUUCGGGAAACCGGAGCUAAUACCGGAUACGUUCUUUUCUCGCAUGAGAGAAGAUGGAAAGACGGUUUACGCUGUCACUUAUAGAUGGGCCCGCGGCGCAUUAGCUAGUUGGUGAGGUAAUGGCUCACCAAGGCGACGAUGCGUAGCCGACCUGAGAGGGUGACCGGCCACACUGGGACUGAGACACGGCCCAGACUCCUACGGGAGGCAGCAGUAGGGAAUCUUCCGCAAUGGACGAAAGUCUGACGGAGCAACGCCGCGUGAACGAAGAAGGCCUUCGGGUCGUAAAGUUCUGUUGUUAGGGAAGAACAAGUACCAGAGUAACUGCUGGUACCUUGACGGUACCUAACCAGAAAGCCACGGCUAACUACGUGCCAGCAGCCGCGGUAAUACGUAGGUGGCAAGCGUUGUCCGGAAUUAUUGGGCGUAAAGCGCGCGCAGGUGGUUCCUUAAGUCUGAUGUGAAAGCCCACGGCUCAACCGUGGAGGGUCAUUGGAAACUGGGGAACUUGAGUGCAGAAGAGGAAGUGGAAUUCCAAGUGUAGCGGUGAAAUGCGUAGAGAUUUGGAGGAACCCAGUGGCGAAGGCGACUUUCUGGUCUGUAACUGACACUGAGGCGCGAAAGCGUGGGGAGCAACAGGAUUAGAUACCCUGGUA
Molecule: ribosomal RNA, 711 nt
Filed under: Peribacillus simplex
Lineage: Bacteria; Bacillati; Bacillota; Bacilli; Caryophanales; Bacillaceae
Description: bacterial SSU rRNA
Rfam family: Bacterial small subunit ribosomal RNA
Source: RNAcentral